Molecule: long non-coding RNA, 1064 nt
Organism: Salarias fasciatus (jewelled blenny)
Lineage: Eukaryota; Metazoa; Chordata; Actinopteri; Blenniiformes; Blenniidae
Exons: 2
Source: RefSeq, a predicted model, not a curated record
CUUCCUGUUGGAUUUAGGUUUUUGGUGUCAAUGGGUGAUUUUCAGAUCUCGAUGAGACAAACGCAUCCACAUCAAUUUGGUCUCUCUGCGACAUUCCUAAUGGUUGCAAUGGCUAUUUUACUGUUUCUAGGUGGCGCUAGAGAGCAGAUGGCGUUAUGGGGUUAAUUUUUUUAUUUUAUCAAGUGGUCCACCGGUCCCGAUGUCCGUGCCAAAUUUGGUGAGUUUUUGUGCACGUUUAGGGGGUCAAAUUAGUGCUCAAGUGCGUCAGUAAAAUAAUAAUAGGGGAAACAAACGGACGAAGAACAAUAGAGGCCUUGCCCUCGGGCAAGGUGGCCUCAGUUGAGGCCACCUCGCCCGCGGGCUCGGUCCCUAAAUAUUAGUUUAAUCAAAACCAAUUUUCAGGAUGAGGGGACAGAGUUUAACCUGGGUGAGGCUUGAGAAUGUGAUGGAAACGAAAGCUGCUAUGAAUGUCCUUUAAUAUUUCAACUAGAAAAUGCUUUAACUGUUCCUCUGGUGUCGUGCCGUGGUCCAGUCUCAGGAGUGAAUCACUUCUUCAUUUGGCCAGUGGUGCUCUGGAGGUUACAGAAAUCCAUUUGGAGGUUUACAGGUUCAAAUGUGGCUUUUUGCUGCUUUUUGAGUUUCAUUGACUUUUCAUGACACAGUGAGGCCUGAUGACUUUACGGAAUGAUUUCCAUCACUGUGGAUCGAAGGCAGUGUUCGGGGGGCGCAUGGGGCGGGGCCAGGUUUCACCUUAGUGUCUCUCUGCUCAGCCGGAGUUGAGGAGAGAAAGAAAUAAAUAACAUCAAACAGUCAAAGUGUUUCCAAACUCAACCAACAUGAGUGUAUAUAGAAUACAGAGGAAUUCUUCACUUCGCUCCUCAGGUUUGCUGUUCUUAUUGUAGAACUUUCUAUUACUCCUGUCACUAAUUUCUCUUUCAAAAUGUGUGAAAGCAAUGCUCUUGUCUGUGCAAUCUAUUUUCAUACCGUUAUUUAAGUUUUUUCUGCCAACGCUUCAACUCAUUCAUGAUAUUAUUUGACACGGUAAUAAAAAGGUUCUUUUCCAA